UUUAACAACCCGAAGAAGGGGGUUUGUGUUUCGGCCACAAAUGUGGGAGUAGUUCUCUGUUAAAG
RNAcentral lists this transfer RNA (65 nucleotides) under Clinostomum complanatum. RNAcentral describes it as "tRNA-Arg". Lineage: Eukaryota; Metazoa; Platyhelminthes; Trematoda; Strigeidida; Clinostomidae. The record is from RNAcentral.